RNAcentral lists this ribosomal RNA (1297 nucleotides) under metagenome. Its description in RNAcentral is "SSU rRNA". It matches the Rfam family "Eukaryotic small subunit ribosomal RNA", at positions 483 to 1786 of the family's 1831-position model. The record is from RNAcentral.
AUACAGGACUCGUCCGAGGCCUUGUAAUUGGAAUGUUUUUAAGAUAAAGACAUGAAGGAGGAACUGUUAGAGGGCAAGUCUGGUGCCAGCAGCCGCGGUAAUUCCAGCUCUAAUAGCGUAUUUUAAUGUUGUUGCGGUUGAAAAGCUCGUAGUUGGAUAUCAUUGAUUGUAUAAGUUCAAUGUGAAUUGUUCUUAUACAGGAGAGGCAAGUCAAGCGGUGAAAAUAAACUUGAAUGUUUAUAUCCACAUAACGCCUGGCUUAAGUUACUUUGAAUAAAUCAAAGUGCUCAAUACAAGCUUUUGCUUGAAUAUAUGUGCAUGGGAUAACGCAAGAAGAUCAAUAUCGAAUCUGUUGGUUGAAUCGAUAUGGGUAAUGAUUAAUAGAGAUUGACGGGGGCAUUUGUAUUUGAAAGCGAGAGGUGAAAUUCUGUGACCUUUCAAAGACAUGCUAAAGCGAAAGCACUUGCCAAGAAUGUUUUCACUAAUCAAGAACGAAAGUUAGAGGCUCGAAGGCGAUUAGAUACCGCCCUAGUUCUAACCAUAAACAAUGCCAACUAACAAUCUUGUGUAGUUUAAGUUGAAACUAACAAGGAAGUUUUCGGAAAACCAAAGUUUUUGGGUUCCGGGGGUAGUAUGGUUGCAAAGCUGAAACUUAAAGUAAUUGACGGAGUGGCACCACCAGGAGUGGAGCCUGUGGCUUAAUUUGACCCAACACGGGGAAGCUCACCAGGGCAAGACACUAUUAGGAUUGACAGAUUGAUAGCUCUUUCUCGAUAAAGUGGGUGGUGGUGCAUGGCCGUUCUUAGUUGGUGGAGUGAUUUGUCUGGUUAAUUCCGAUAACGAACGAGACUCUGACCAAUUACUAGUGAAAUCUUUUGAAAAGAAAGUUACCGCAGUAAUGCAGUUUCAUUCGAGAUAUUACUUCUUAAGGGGACACGCUAUUGUGAAUAGCACGAGGAAGAGCAAUAACAGGUCUGUGAUGCCCUUAGAUGUUCUGGGCUGCACACGCGCUACAAUAAAUUAAUCAACAAGUUCUCCGCUUUGACAGAUGCGGGCAAACUUUUGAAAUUAAUUUAUGGUAGGAAUGGGAACUUGCAAUUAUUUUCCCUGAACUAGAAAUUCCUAGUAAGCGCAAGUCAUCAGCUUGCGUUGAUUUAGUCCCUGCCACUUGUACACACCGCCCGUCGCUACUACCGAUCGGAUUUAUUAGUGAGACCUAAAGACUUAAGGUGAAAUAACAUUCUUGUUAAUAACCGUCAAGGAAAUAGUUCAAACUGAUAUUUCUAGAGGAAGUAAA